CAGCAGCCGCGGGAAUACGAAGGGUGCAAGCGUUAAUCGGAAUUACUGGGCGUAAAGCGUGCGUAGGCGGUUUGUUAAGUCUGCUGUGAAAUCCCCGGGCUCAACCUGGGAAUGGCAGUGGAUACUGGCAAGCUAGAGUGUGUCAGAGGAUGGUGGAAUUUCCGGUGUAGCAGUGAAAUGCGUAGAGAUCGGAAGGAACAUCUGUGGCGAAGGCGACUAUCUGGGCCAACACUGACACUGAGGCACGAAAGCGUGGGGAGCAAACAGGAUUAGAUACCCCUGUAGUCCCUGUCUCUUAUAC
This 301-nucleotide ribosomal RNA is filed under the name uncultured bacterium. RNAcentral's name for it is "partial 16S ribosomal RNA". It matches the Rfam family "Bacterial small subunit ribosomal RNA", at positions 509 to 807 of the family's 1533-position model. The record is from RNAcentral.